GACCAGACUCCUACGGGAGGCAGCAGUGGGGAAUAUUGCACAAUGGGGGAAACCCUGAUGCAGCGACGCCGCGUGAGUGAAGAAGUAUUUCGGUAUGUAAAGCUCUAUCAGCAGGGAAGAAAAUGACGGUACCUGACUAAGAAGCCCCGGCUAACUACGUGCCAGCAGCCGCGGUAAUACGUAGGGGGCAAGCGUUAUCCGGAUUUACUGGGUGUAAAGGGAGCGUAGACGGCAUGGCAAGUCAGAUGUGAAAGCCCGGGGCUCAACCCCGGGACUGCAUUUGAAACUGUCAGGCUGGAGUGCAGGAGAGGUAAGUGGAAUUCCUAGUGUAGCGGUGAAAUGCGUAGAUAUUAGGAGGAACACCAGUGGCGAAGGCGGCUUACUGGACUGUAACUGACGUUGAGGCUCGAAAGCGUGGGGAGCAAACAGGAUUAGAUACCCGGGUAC
Molecule: ribosomal RNA, 447 nt
Filed under: uncultured bacterium
Lineage: Bacteria
Description: bacterial SSU rRNA
Rfam family: Bacterial small subunit ribosomal RNA
Source: RNAcentral